GAUGAACGCUGGCGGCGUGCCUAAUACAUGCAAGUCGAGCGAACAGACGAGGAGCUUGCUCCUCUGACGUUAGCGGCGGACGGGUGAGUAACACGUGGAUAACCUACCUAUAAGACUGGGAUAACUUCGGGAAACCGGAGCUAAUACCGGAUAAUAUAUUGAACCGCAUGGUUCAAUAGUGAAAGACGGUUUUGCUGUCACUUAUAGAUGGAUCCGCGCCGCAUUAGCUAGUUGGUAAGGUAACGGCUUACCAAGGCAACGAUGCGUAGCCGACCUGAGAGGGUGAUCGGCCACACUGGAACUGAGACACGGUCCAGACUCCUACGGGAGGCAGCAGUAGGGAAUCUUCCGCAAUGGGCGAAAGCUUGACGGAGCAACGCCGCGUGAGUGAUGAAGGUCUUCGGAUCGUGAAACUCUGUUAUUAGGGAAGAACAAAUGUGUAAGUAACUAUGCACGUCUUGACGGUACCUAAUCAGAAAGCCACGGCUAACUACGUG
This 497-nucleotide ribosomal RNA is filed under the name uncultured bacterium. RNAcentral's name for it is "partial 16S ribosomal RNA". It matches the Rfam family "Bacterial small subunit ribosomal RNA", at positions 28 to 507 of the family's 1533-position model. The record is from RNAcentral.